Molecule: ribosomal RNA, 465 nt
Filed under: uncultured bacterium
Lineage: Bacteria
Description: partial 16S ribosomal RNA
Rfam family: Bacterial small subunit ribosomal RNA
Source: RNAcentral
GACGAACGCUGGCGGCGUGCUUAACACAUGCAAGUCGAACGGAAAGGCCCCUUUGGGGGUACUCGAGUGGCGAACGGGUGAGUAACACGUGAGUAACCUGCCCUUGACUUCGGGAUAACUUCAGGAAACUGGGGCUAAUACCGGAUAGGAAUCCUUGCUGCAUGGUGGGGGUUGGAAAGCUUCGGCGGUUUUGGAUGGACUCGCGGCUUAUCAGCUUGUUGGUGGUGUAGUGGCUUACCAAGGCUUUGACGGGUAGCCGGCCUGGGAGGGCGACCGGCCACAUUGGGACUGAGAUACGGCCCAGACUCCGACGGGAGGCAGCAGUGGGGAAUAUUGCACAAUGGGCGGAAGCCUGAGGCAGCAACGCCGCGUGCGGGAUGACGGCCUUCGGGUUGUAAACCGCUUUCAGCAGGGGCGAAGCUUGUGGUGACGGUACCUGCAGAAGAAGCACCGGCUAACUACGUG